This is a non-coding RNA of Bombyx mori (domestic silkworm), 75 nucleotides long. Lineage: Eukaryota; Metazoa; Arthropoda; Insecta; Lepidoptera; Bombycidae. The record is from RefSeq and is marked provisional.
CGAAACCCCUAGGGACCUUGCCUGGGUUAUCUCGGUGUCGGACGAGAGCGCAGGGGAGGUGCUUAGUGGGGACGC